This 253-nucleotide unclassified non-coding RNA is filed under the name plant metagenome. RNAcentral's name for it is "partial contains small subunit ribosomal RNA, internal transcribed spacer 1, and 5.8S ribosomal RNA". The record is from RNAcentral.
UUUCCGUAGGUGAACCUGCGGAAGGAUCAUUGCUGAGUUUUGAAUGAAGUUGUUCUGGUCUUUCGGGGCAAGUGAACGCUUCUCUCAAUCCAUCUUACACCUGUGCCCCUAUCGGGGAAGACUUGGAUCUAAGUUGGGUCACGACGGCGAACUACAGUCUCCUCUUUAUACCAAAUAACAGUUUUAGAAAGUCUUUUUUGCUUGAUGCAAACUUAAAUAAAUACAACUUUCAGCAACGGAUCUCUUGGCUCUC